This 3128-nucleotide long non-coding RNA is filed under the name Homo sapiens (human). Its description in RNAcentral is "HSALNT0046480". The record is from RNAcentral. Lineage: Eukaryota; Metazoa; Chordata; Mammalia; Primates; Hominidae.
UUCACUCAGCUCCAUCAUGAGGCCUUUGUGGUCUUCCCUCUCGUACAGCCGCAGCCUGUGGGAGACUGUCUACUCGGUCCACAGAAAGAAGGAUGGAAAAAAGCAAAUGAGUCUCUUCCAGAAUUUGUCCAACCAAAGAACAGAUGAACUUGUGUGAUGGGGCCUGCGGCUGCACAGCCAGUCUAUAUAGCAGGAUGGCUGCUGCGUUGGCAAGAACAACACAAAAGGGGCCCUCAGCGACUACUACAACAGCUUCUUCAUGAUGUCCAAACCCCAAUUUGGCCUCUCUCUGAUCCUUCAUCUAUGCUGCUGUCACAUGGGCCUUCCGGUGAUCUUAUCUGAAGCAUUAAAAGCAAGAACACAGGUCUGAAAGCUUAAGGGGAUGAGUAACCCCUCCCUUCCCAGGCCCAGUCCCAAGGCGCAAGGUCACUUGUGUCAGCAGUGUGCGCCAGCAGGAUAGCAGAAGCAGGAAGAGAGCCGGCUGGAAGACACGUACCCCCGAAGAUCGAGAAAGAGGCCAUCCGGGUACAACGUAGCAGUUACGUCAGACUAGGACACUUCCUGUUUACAGGAGACUGUAAAACCUUUGCCCCGUCCUCACUUGGUGCUGACGCCAUUUUAAGCCUCGGCCUUCCUGCACUCAGGCGCACCCAGGCGCUCCUUAAAACAGCUUAUUGCUCCACACCUCCUCGUGUUGUCUGUGGACGCGCUCUUGGGGUUGGAACCGAUACAAGAACCUUACACUGCUGGGCUCAAGUGAUCUGCCUGCCUCGGCCUCCCAACGUGUUGGGAUUACAGGCGUGAGCCACCACGCCUGGCCUAUUCUUUUACUUUUUAAAAUUUUGUGAAAAACUAAGACACAAACACACACAUUAGUUUAGGCCUACACGGGGUCAGGAUCAUCAAUAUCACUGUCUACCACUUCCACAUGUUGUACCACUGGAAGAUCUUCACGGGCAAAAACACACAUGGAACUGUCACCUAUGAUGAUGAUGCUUCCUUCUGUAGUACCUCCUGAAGGCUCUGCCUGAAGCUGUUUACAGUUAACUUUUUUUUUUAAAAAAAAGUAUAAGUAGAAGGAGAAUACUCUAAAGUGAUGAUAAAAAGUAUAGUAUAGCAAGCUGGGCACGGUGGCUCACACCUAUAAUCCCAGCACUUUGGGAGGCCGAGGCAGGCGGACCACCUGAGUAUUGACUUUCUCUUUAUGUUGGAUUUAGGAGGAGGACAGGACAUCUUUUUCUUUGCCUGUAUCCCAGGGAUAGGAGCAAAAAAUUUCUAAGAAUAAUGACUUGAUCAAAGAGAUUCGGGGACUCUAAUCCCUUUCAGUUCAGAUGUUUUAGAAUAAUUUUCAUGCCUAAAGACGGUGAUUUACUUUUAUUUUUAUUUUUAGAGAUAGAGUCUCUCUCUGUUGCCCAGGCUGGAGUGCAGUGACGUGAUCUCACCUCACUGCAACCUCCGCCUCCCAGGUUCAAGCGAUUCUCGUGCUUCAGCUUCUGUAGUAGCUGGGAUUACAGGCAUGUGUCACCACGUGCAGCUAAUUUUUGUAUUUAAAUUUAGUAGAGACGGGGUUUCGGCAUGUUGGUCAGGCUGGUCUCAAACUCCUGGCCUCAAGUGAUCCGCCUGUCUUGGCCUUCCAAAAUGUUGGGAUUACAGGCGUGAGCCACUGCACCCAGCCAAAAUAUGUGAUUUUAUGUCUUCUAGGAAAAUAGUGUAAAAUUCAGCACGUUAAGAAGCUUUUGGUUUUCUGAAUUAUGUUUGACAUGUUAUUGUUGACAAACAGAGGACUCUGAUUAAUAGCUCCAGGAAGCCAUCACUAUUGUUGCGAGUUUAAAGGUUAAAGACCCAAGAUUUAGGAAGAGUUAACACUAAAUAAUCCUAGAUUCUGACUGUUUUUCAGGAAAUAAAUCUUUAUAUGUAUUUGUGUUCUCUAUAUAUACACACAUACAGUAGGCUAAUAUACAUAUACAUACAGUAGGCUAAACUUAGGCUACACAUUUUUUUAAAAUGCUUGCUUUCUUCAAUAAUAAACUAACAUUAGCAUACUGUAACUUUGUAACAUAAACUUUUUAACAUUUUAAACCUUUUUGACACUUUUGUAGUAAUAUUUAGCACACACACACACACACACACAGUAGGGUAAACUUGCAUCCAAGUUUGCCUAGAACAGUCCUGGUUCAUGUCUCUUGUCCCAGUGUAAUUAUUAAUAGUAUAUACUUUCACUCUCAAAAAUGACCCAGUGUAGGCCAGGCGUGGUGGCUCACUCCUGUAAUCCCAGCACUUUGGGAGGCCGAGGUGGGUGGAUCACCUGAGGUCAGGAGUUUGAGACCAGCCUGGCCAACAUGGUGAAACUCUGUCUCUACUAAAAAUACAAACAUUAGCCGGGCGUGGUGGCACACGCCUGUAGUUCUGGCUACUUGGGAGGCUGAAGCAGGAGAACUGCUUGAACUGGGAGGCAGAGGUUGCAGUGAGCUGAGAUUGCACCACUGAACUCCCGCCUGGGUGACAGAGUGAGACUCCAUCUCAAAAAAAAAAAAAAAAAAAACCCAAAAUCAAAACAAAUGACCGAGUUUAUGACUGGGUGUGGUGGCUCACACCUGUAAUUCUGGCACUUUGGGAGGCCCAGACAAGAGGAUCGCUUGAGCUCAGGAGUUUGAGACCAGCCUGGGCAACAUGGCAAGACCCUGUCUCUACUAGAAAUAAAAAAAAUUAGCUGAGCAUGGUGGUGUGCGCCUGUAAUCCCAGCUAUUUGGGAGGCUGAGGUGGGAGGAUCGCUUGAGCCCUGGAGACGCAGGUUUACAGGGCUGGGAUUACAGGUGUGAGCCACCACGCCCGGCCACUUAGUAUUAUUAUGUGUAAUCAUAAUAUUUUACUCUCUACUGAAAUGACAUGAGGCUGAGCUUCCCGUGCGCAUGUGGUUUUUGUAAAUGUCCUGAAAUUAUUCCACAAAGCACAUAUAGCGAAAACACAGUGAAUUCUAUUUGGACUGGAAAUCUCAUAGUGGAAUGAGAUAUUGGCAGUGGAAGUGAGAGGAAAGGGAUGGUGACUGUUAGGAGGACAGGAGUGCAAUAGGUAAGAGUGGACCAGUUCAUUUAUUUGUUUGUUUAUGGAGCUGAGGUAGGAGUCUAGAG